This 495-nucleotide ribosomal RNA is filed under the name uncultured bacterium. RNAcentral describes it as "partial 16S ribosomal RNA". It matches the Rfam family "Bacterial small subunit ribosomal RNA", at positions 28 to 507 of the family's 1533-position model. The record is from RNAcentral.
GACGAACGCUGGCGGCGUGCCUAAUACAUGCAAGUAGAACGCUGAAGGAGGAGCUUGCUUCUCUGGAUGAGUUGCGAACGGGUGAGUAACGCGUAGGUAACCUGCCUGGUAGCGGGGGAUAACUAUUGGAAACGAUAGCUAAUACCGCAUAACAGUAGAUAUCGCAUGAUAUCUACUUGAAAGGUGCAAUUGCAUCACUACCAGAUGGACCUGCGUUGUAUUAGCUAGUUGGUGAGGUAACGGCUCACCAAGGCGACGAUACAUAGCCGACCUGAGAGGGUGAUCGGCCACACUGGGACUGAGACACGGCCCAGACUCCUACAGGAGGCAGCAGUAGGGAAUCUUCGGCAAUGGACGGAAGUCUGACCGAGCAACGCCGCGUGAGUGAAGAAGGUUUUCGGAUCGUAAAGCUCUGUUGUAAGAGAAGAACGAGUGUGAGAGUGGAAAGUUCACACUGUGACGGUAGCUUACCAGAAAGGGACGGCUAACUACGUG